AAAUCUUAAACCACUGAAGGGCCUGAAUUGUUGCAUCAUUUCUUUCGUUGUCCUUACUGCUCUUUGAGAUUGUAUUCUAAAUUUGGCUGUCACCAUUUCAUCAAGUUUGAGGAGGCGCCAUACCAGCCUAAGGGUUAGACAUGGUCGUGAUAAGGCAAGGUGUUUAAGAGCGGGGUCUUUACAUUCAAGUACAGCGCCAUCUUCCGCCACCCGCCGUGUAUGGUCAUCCUCUCUCAGUCUCUCCUAAUAAUUUUAACAACAAUUAACUUUUACUUCAGUUUUCCCGCCACAUAUUGUUUUCUGAAUUACCAUAACCUGCAAAGUUCACUCCUAACUGCAGCUGGAUAAAAAAAAAAUUGUGUUAUUGUAAUAUUCAUGUUUUUUCAUCGGGACAGUCAGUGUGUGCCUUGGUGUGUGCUGUCCGCGCACACACACAGACCACUGUUUAAACGGGAGCAGGCGAAGGAGGAGGGUGAGCGUGUGUGUGUCUGUGUCAAGUGUUACUGUGGCAUCUCUUGGUGCUAUCUGAAGGCUUUCGGAACACUUUGGCUAUUCAGAACUGGUGGCGGUCAUCUGUCACCCUCCUGGAGAGAGCUUAGCUGUGGUGCAAUCUGAUCUAUGGGUGAGGGACGAGACCUUUCACACCGCAACACACAACACAAUGCUUGCUCUCUCGCUUCAGGAAGACGAGGAGGGCAGUAAGUGGUUGGUGACUGGUGAGUGAGGGAAAUCUGAGGAUGAGCUUCUGUUUGUACAUACACACACACUGUACACACACACACACACACACACACACACACACACACACACACACACACACACACACACACACACACACACACACACACCUUCCCUUUCCGCUUCCUUUCCUCUCUUUUCUCUCCCUUUACAAAUUUAUAUUCUCUCCCUCACCCUCCAAUUCCACCCUCUGUCCCUUCUCUCCCUCUCUUUUCCCCUCUCCCGUCACCCUCCCUGCUCCCCACCCUUGUCUCGACGCCGCGGCGGAACAAGUGAACAUCAAGUAAGUGUAAUCAAAACCGCAACGUGGGG
Scylla paramamosain (green mud crab) is the source of this 1050-nucleotide long non-coding RNA. RefSeq lists it as uncharacterized. The record is from RefSeq and is a predicted model, not a curated record. NCBI's taxonomy places the organism in Eukaryota, Metazoa, Arthropoda, Malacostraca, Decapoda, Portunidae. The transcript has 3 exons.